Molecule: ribosomal RNA, 497 nt
Filed under: uncultured bacterium
Lineage: Bacteria
Description: partial 16S ribosomal RNA
Rfam family: Bacterial small subunit ribosomal RNA
Source: RNAcentral
GAUGAACGCUGGCGGCGUGCCUAAUACAUGCAAGUCGAGCGAACAGAUGAGGAGCUUGCUCCUCUGACGUUAGCGGCGGACGGGUGAGUAACACGUGGAUAACCUACCUAUAAGACUGGGAUAACUUCGGGAAACCGGAGCUAAUACCGGAUAAUAUAUUGAACCGCAUGGUUCAAUAGUGAAAGACGGUUUUGCUGUCACUUAUAGAUGGAUCCGCGCCGCAUUAGCUAGUUGGUAAGGUAACGGCUUACCAAGGCAACGAUGCGUAGCCGACCUGAGAGGGUGAUCGGCCACACUGGAACUGAGACACGGUCCAGACUCCUACGGGAGGCAGCAGUAGGGAAUCUUCCGCAAGGGGCGAAAGCCUGACGGAGCAACGCCGCGUGAGUGAUGAAGGUCUUCGGAUCGUAAAACUCUGUUAUUAGGGAAGAACAAAUGUGUAAGUAACUAUGCACGUCUUGACGGUACCUAAGCAGAAAGCCACGGCUAACUACGUG